This 416-nucleotide ribosomal RNA is filed under the name uncultured bacterium. Its description in RNAcentral is "bacterial SSU rRNA". It matches the Rfam family "Bacterial small subunit ribosomal RNA", at positions 37 to 499 of the family's 1533-position model. The record is from RNAcentral.
UGGCGGCACGCCUAAACAUGCAAGUCGAACGAAGUAGCAAUACUUAGUGGCAGACGGGUGAGUAACAUGUAGGUAUCUGCCCUUUGGCCUGGAAUAACACGAGGAAACUUGUGCUAAUACCGGAUAAGUCUUUACGGAGAAAGCUUUAUGCACCAUUGGAUGAGCCUGCACUUGAUUAGUUUGUUGGUGGGGUAAUGGCCUACCAAGACUGUGAUCAAUAGCUGAUUUGAGAGGAUGAUCAGCCACAUUGGGACUGAGACACGGCCCAAACUCCUACGGGAGGCAGCAGUGGGGAAUCUUGCACAAUGGAGGAAACUCUGAUGCAGCGAUGCCGCGUGAGUGAAGAAGGCCCUUGGGUUGUAAAGCUCUUUCGUCGGGGAAGAAAAUGACUGUACCCGAAUAAGAAGGUCCGGCUA